UUUAGUGCGGGAGAUUUGUUGUGUGGAGUUUGAGAGAAGGCGAGACACUUUUCGGUGUGUUGUGGAAACUGGCG
This 74-nucleotide transfer RNA is filed under the name Salamandra algira (North African fire salamander). RNAcentral's name for it is "tRNA-Pro". The record is from RNAcentral. Lineage: Eukaryota; Metazoa; Chordata; Amphibia; Caudata; Salamandridae.